CCCAAGUGCACAGGCAUAGCGCUGUGCUUUUCGGUACCGUAAGGUGGUACCAGAUAAGGGCUGGGCAAGACCGGUGCCAGCCGCCGCGGUAAUACCGGCAGCCCAAGUGAUGGCCGAUCUUAUUGGGCCUAAAGCGUCCGUAGCUGGCCGCGCAAGUCCAUCGGGAAAUCCACCUGCUCAACAGGUGGGCGCCCGGUAGAAACUGCGUGGCUUGGGACCGGAAGGCGCGACGGGUACGUCCGGGGUAGGAGUGAAAUCCCGUAAUCCUGGACGGACCGCCGAUGGCGAAAGCACGUCGCGAGGACGGAUCCGACAGUGAGGGACGAAAGCCAGGGUCUCGAACCGGAUUAGAUACCCGGGUAGUCCUGGCCGUAAACAAUGUCUGCUAGGUGUGGCUCCCACUACGAGUGGGUGCUGUGCCGUAGGGAAGCCGCUAAGCAGACCGCCUGGGAAGUACGUCCGCAAGGAUGAAACUUAAAGGAAUUGGCGGGGGAGCACUACAACCGGAGGAGCCUGCGGUUUAAUUGGACUCAACGCCGGACAUCUCACCAGCAUCGACUGUAAUAAUGACG
This 572-nucleotide ribosomal RNA is filed under the name Halorubrum xinjiangense. RNAcentral's name for it is "bacterial SSU rRNA". It matches the Rfam family "Archaeal small subunit ribosomal RNA", at positions 380 to 952 of the family's 1478-position model. Lineage: Archaea; Methanobacteriati; Methanobacteriota; Halobacteria; Halobacteriales; Haloferacaceae. The record is from RNAcentral.